AUUGAACGCUGGCGGCAUGCCUUACACAUGCAAGUCGAACGGCAGCGCGGGUGCUUGCACCUGGCGGCGAGUGGCGAACGGGUGAGUAAUAUAUCGGAACGUGCCCUAGAGUGGGGGAUAACGUAGCGAAAGUUACGCUAAUACCGCAUACGAUCUACGGAUGAAAGUGGGGGAUCGCAAGACCUCAUGCUCCUGGAGCGGCCGAUAUCUGAUUAGCUAGUUGGUGGGGUAAAGGCCUACCAAGGCGACGAUCAGUAGCUGGUCUGAGAGGACGACCAGCCACACUGGGACUGAGACACGGCCCAGACUCCUACGGGAGGCAGCAGUGGGGAAUUUUGGACAAUGGGGGCAACCCUGAUCCAGCAAUGCCGCGUGAGUGAAGAAGGCCU
RNAcentral lists this ribosomal RNA (389 nucleotides) under uncultured bacterium. RNAcentral's name for it is "bacterial SSU rRNA". It matches the Rfam family "Bacterial small subunit ribosomal RNA", at positions 30 to 417 of the family's 1533-position model. The record is from RNAcentral.